RNAcentral lists this unclassified non-coding RNA (216 nucleotides) under soil metagenome. Its description in RNAcentral is "partial contains 5.8S ribosomal RNA, internal transcribed spacer 2, and large subunit ribosomal RNA". The record is from RNAcentral.
AACCUAGCACACCUGCGGUGUGUACCUGCGGAGGGAUCAUUACAAGUGACCCCGGUUUACCACCGGGAUGUUCAUAACCCUUUGUUGUCCGACUCUGUUGCCUCCGGGGCGACCCUGCCUUCGGGCGGGGGCUCCGGGUGGACACUUCAAACUCUUGCGUAACUUUGCAGUCUGAGUAAACUUAAUUAAUAAAUUAAAACUUUCAACAACGGAUCU